UUGAUACAAAUAUAUAAAUGAAUGGACUAAAAUUGGGCUUAAAUGAACCAGUGAUGAGGAUUGGUAGAGGUUGAGGCACAGACGAUGAAUAAUAAGUAUCUGGAACCCUGAGGUCCAAGACAAUACAUACUCUAUUUUCAUGUUUAUUUGAUCCUAUGGACAGAUGUUAGGAAUGUAUAAUUUUCAAGUUCUUCGAUUAAGUUUUAAAAUUAUUACUAGAUCAAUGAGAGCACUAUUAAAAUUACAUAAAUAAUAGAUUACAAAGAAAGGAUAAAUUAUGUUCUCAUUAUGAACAUCUAUGAUGAGACAAGAAAUAUUAAUAAAAAUUUCCAGCACUAAUGACCAUUAUGAAAUAGAUGGAGCAAGGGUGUCAUCACUUUUUCCAGAUACCAGAUAGACUUGAACAAUUAGGAGUCAAUUUUAUUGUUCUGAGUCAGUCUUAAGUAUGAGCUUGUUCUUUCUGUUAAGAGAAAACAAUUUCUACAUUAAGAAAAAGUUAUAAAUUCCUAAAUGACUGGGUAAAAGAAAUGUAGAAUGCAAGAGUCAAUGGAGAUAAAUUUUCUUUUUUUCUCAUUGGCUGUGCUUCAUAUUGUUCAAAAUGGACACAUUUGUGCUGACGAAGUGUUAUUCUGUGGGGAUGCACCUUAUGAUUGCAUCUCUGUGUUAGAAGCACAGAGACCAAUGUGAGUAAUAGUCAAAUUUCUCGUCUUAGUUUCAGUGAUUUUUUUUCCCCUGUGUAUUCAGUGUAUUACUUGAAACUUCCAUAUAGAGUAACAGAAGGCCAGUGUAGCUCAGUGAUAAAUAUAGACCUUCAUUAUACACUAAUUGAUUAAUGCAUAGAUGUAUAAUAGCAUAUAAUUUAAAAAGAGGUACGUUGCUGUGAGAAUGAUCUAUUUACAGUUAGUAAUAUCACGACUCUUCUUGGGUUUUGUGACUAAUAAUUUUAAAAUUAUUAUGAGUGACUUACUGAAAUAGUCAAUAAACAAAUAGAAAUGAACAAAGAAAAGAGUAAAAAGUAUUAAAUUAAUCAAAAACUCAUAAUUCAAUGAUAAAUAUAAGAAAUAUUCUUUUGAAUAAUUGAUAAUGGGCAGGAUUGAGGUCGAAAAUUGGAAGAGAUGGACCCUUAAUGGGAAAUGAUUCUGUAAACUGAGGUUAGGGGUAUUGAAGGGUGUUAUUCUUGGAAUAUUUAGUGAACCAUAUAUGAUUUUAUUAUUCUUCCAUAUAGAAAUGAUGGAAGAAAAGAGACUCAGUGAUGGAACAGUGAUGAUGAUUGUGACGGGAAGAGCCCUGAAUGAUGAAAACAUGUCUGAAACUCUGAGGUCCAACCCAGACCAGUGGAUGCACUGGACCAGAAAUGAGGAUUCUUCCUUGAGUGCCAGCCCAGGAUGGCAUCUUUGUCAUAGGAGCCUGGACACCCAUGUGAGCAUCAUCUAGUUCCUAGUCUGGGGGUGGGUGGUUUCUCAAAAAGUAAUGACUAAGCUAAAAAAAAUGGGUGAAAGAAAAUUAAAGGAGGCCAUCUUUAUCCCAUUGAUAAAAAAGGAACUGUUGUGAAGCAAAAACCCAAUAAUAAAUAUGAGAGAUAUGAUGAUGUGAGAAUGGUUAUAGAGACAGGUGAACGAUAUCGAGGUCUCGCUGGGUUUUGCAAACCCUAGAGUGUCAAAAUUUGCAUUAGUGAAGUAACGCAUGCAUCAGUGAAACAUACAGAAUGAAGAGAAAGUCAUCUUUUCUGGAUCGAUGAUGAUAAAUGCCAGCGCAUGAGUCAUCGAUGACGAAUAAUACGUGUCUGGACCUCUCAGGUCCAAUACACAAGAAAUGUGGUCUAUCUCUUCAUGCGUUUUCACUGGUUAUGCUAAUUGAGCCAAUGAAAGCAUCAGUAAACAAAUCUGCUGGUCCAUGGAGAGAAAGUCUCAAUCUCGGUCAUUACCUUCUCUGUUUGGUACUUUUCAGAAUAGAAGCUCAGGCGAUUUAAGCCUCCAUUUUGAUCAAGCUUCUCCUUUUCAGGUUGCUAUGGGACAGAGACCCAGUGGGCAUGUUCGAGCUGAUCAAGCUAUCAGUAUUCCAUGGUGAGGCACCUUAUAAUUGCAGGAACCCAUAUUUCACAUAUCCGCUGUAUUAGAGAUUGCCUAAGUAACAGUGGGAAUGUGGAAGCCGGGAUGAGUGAAUAGAAGCUCAAGGAGAUUUCAGCCUCCAUUGUGAUCAAGGUUCUCCUUUUCAGGUUGCUAUGGGACAGACACCCAGUGGACACAUUCGAGUUGAGCAAGCUAUCAGUAUUUCACGGUGAUGGCAUCUUAUCAUUGCCAGAACCCAUAAUAGAAGCUCAAGGUGAUUUCAGCCUCCAUUGUGAUCAAGGUCCUCCUUUUCAGUUUGCUGUGGGACAGAGACCCAGGUGAGUUAUGGCCAGGGCUCCUGUCUUGGUUUGGGGAAUUGGUUUAAGUGUUUUCAUUACAUUCUCAAAAGUCAUUGAUAUAUAUCAAAGGGUUGAUGAUGCCUGUUGAAAAAUAAGCCAUGAGAGCUUAUGCUGAUGAAGUGAUCAUCUAGAUCCUGGAAAUUCAUUAAGGAAAGUGAUCACAUGUAUGGUGAUAGUGAUUGGAUAGAACGCAUGGAUAUUCGCAGGUCUUGUUCUUGGGUUUUGGAUAUUCGUGUCUUUCUUUCAUUAAUACCAAUGGUAUAAUGAUUUAAUUGAUAGAGAUAUGUCAAUGAAUGAACUAAAAUUGAACCCAAGGGGACCAACAAACAAGGUGGGUAGAGUAUGAGGCAUAGGCAAGGAACCAUAUGUAUCUGGAAGCCUGAGGGCCAAGGAUACGUACUCUGUUUUGAUUUCUUCCUAUGGACAGAUGUUCAGAAUAUAUAAAGUCAUGCUCUUAGUUUGGUUUACUAAAUUUAUAUUUAAUACUAUUAAUCGAUCAAUGAUAGAACCAUUCAAAAUAUGUAAAUAGUAGAUUAAGAAGAGAUGGUCAGUUAUUGCCAAAUGUGGACACAUGUGGGCUGGCAAGAAGUAAUCCUAAAGAUUUCCACCCCUUACGCCCCUUAAUUACAAUUGGACCUAAGAGGUCAACUGUUUGGCCAAGAGUCAUGUAGAUGUGAAUAAUUGAGUCAAUUUUAUUGUUCUUGGCCACUCUCAAGCUUGAGGGUAUUAUUUUCUGUAGAAAAAAACAUCUCUUCAUUAUGAAAGAGUGGUCAAUUCCUCAUGACUGAGAACAUUAAAUGUGGAAAGAAAGCAUCAAUGUUCAUAAGUUUCCUUACUCUCUCUUUUGUUUCAUCGACUGUGCUUUUAUUGAUUAAAAUGGACACAUUUGAGCUGAUCAAGCCAUCAGUAUUCCAUGGUGAGGCACCUUAUAAUUGCAGGAACCCGUGUGAGUAAUAAGCAAAUUUCUUGUCAUGGUUUCCGUUUAUUUUUGUCUGCCUGGGUGUGCAUUCAAGGUAUUAUUCGAGAUAUUCAUAUAGGAAAACAAAAGGCCAGUGCAGUUCGGUGAUACGUGUUACAUUUUAUGAAACAUUAAUUGAUUACUGCCCCAAUGAAAAAAACAAAACAAAACAAAACAAAACAAAACAACACAAAAUCAGCAUCAUGAUUUAUAGGAGAGACACACUGCUGUGAGAAUGAACUAUGGAGAGAGGAGGGAAAUCAUGACUGCCCUUGGGUUUUGUGGUUAAUAGGCUUUUCAGUAUUUAUGAGAGAUUUAUUGCCUUAAUCAGUACACAAUGUAGAAAUACAUGAAGAGAAGGAGGGACACUAUUGGAUUGAUGAUGACUACUGGUGGCGUACGAGUCGUGUACGAUGAAUACGUGUCUGGAGCUCUGAGGUCCGAUGCAAAUGGAAUCUAGUCCAUUGUCCUAUUGGAAGUGACCCUAGGGGCUGAGGUCAGGAAUGAAUGAGGGGCUCCUUUGCAGUCUUUGUGUUCAUGCCUUUUCAUUUUGUUCGUGCAAAUGAAAAACUGAGGCCCUCUUCAUAAAUAUAUGAGUUAAAAUAAAGAAAAAUGACGGAAAACAAUUUCUAUUCAUGGAUAUAUGGGUGGAAACAAGAUAUACCAUUAAUAUGUCAAGGAAAGCCUGGAUUUCAAUUUUAAAGCCAUGGGACAUGACUGUUACCACUUAGGGUAAGGAGAAGGGGACCAGGGGAAGUGGUAGACAGCCUUCAUAUUCUGGCACAGAGGCAAGAUUGAAGUUGUUCCUUUUCAACAGAUCUCACAUACCUGCUAUGUUAGGGAUAGCCUAAGUAAUGAUGUGAAUGUGGAAGCAAGGAUGAGUGGAGAGUGUCUCCACCAUUUUUAUAAUCUGCUUCGCUUUAUACUCCUCAGAGUGGAUGCACUGGACCAGAAACGAGGAUUCGUCCUCGAGGGCCAGCCUAGGAUGGCAUCAUGGUCGUAGGAGCCAGGAGACCUGUAAUAGAAGCACAAGGUGAUUUCAGCCUCCACUGUGAUCAAUGUUCUCCUUCUCAGGUUGCUAUAGGACAGAGACCCAGGUGAGUUAUGGCCAAGGUUUCUGCCUUGGUUUGGGGAAUUGAUUUAAGUGUUUUCAUUGUAUUCUCAGAAGUCAUCGAUACAUAUUAAAGGGUUGAUGAUAUGGCCCAUUUAAAAACAAGACAUGAGCGCUUAUGCUGAUGAAGUGAUCAUCUAGAUACUGGCAAUGCAUUAAGGAAAGAGAUCUCAUGUAUGGUUAUAGUGAUUGGAGAGAAAUUAGGGAUGUUCAUGGGUAUACUGUUCUUGGGUUUUGUUUUUUCGUAUCUUUCUUUCAUUAAUAUCAAUGAUGUAAUGAUUUAAUUGAUAGUGAUGUAUCAAUGAAUGAACUAAAAUUGGACCCAAGGGGACCAACGAUGAUGUUUGGUAGAGGAUGAGGCAUGGCCAAGGAACUAUAAGUAUCUGGAAUCCUGAGGUCCAAGAAAGGCUACAUACUUCGUUUUCUACACUGAUUUCUUCCCUUGGACAGAUGUUCGGAAUAUAUAAAGUCAUGCUCCUACUUUGCGUCACUCAAUUUAUAUUUCAUACUAUUAAUCGAUCAGUGAUAGAACACUUCAAAAUGUAUAAAUAGUAGAUUAAGAAGAAAAGGUCCAUUAUUGUCUACUGUGGACACAUGGGGUUCAGCAAGAAGCAAUCCUAAAUAUUUCCAUCAGUUAGGACCGUUAAUAACAAAUGGACCUAGGAGGUCAACUGUUUCCAAGCAUCAUUUAGAUGUGAAUAAUUAAGAUUCAAUUUUAUUGUUCUGGAGCACUCUCAAGUUUGCGGGUAUUUUUGAUUGUAGAAGAAGAAAAAUCUCUGCAUUAGGAAAGAGUGAUCAAUUCGUGAAUAUUGAGAACUCUAAAUUUGGACAGAAAGCAUCAAUGUCCAUACAGUUUCCUUUUUCUUUCUCUUUUUUGUUUCAUCGACUGUGCUUUCUACUGAUUAAAAUGGACAUGUUCAAGCUGAGCAAGCCGUCAGUAUUCCAUGGUGAUGCACCUUAUGAUUGCAGGAACCCACGUGGAAUGAAUGCACUAGCGAUGGUUUAGAAUCACCCAUGGCCACCAGGUCUGUGGUUGCCUCUGUAUAAUAGGAGGAUGGAGAUUAAUGACAGAUGUUCCCCCUACUUCAGCUUCUGCUGUGCUCAGCUGUCCUGCUGCUUCUGUGUCAGAAAGUAACUAAGAAUGCAUGCAUCAUUUAGCAUCUUCCAUGAACAUGAGCUCUGUGGUUGCUUCUGUAUAAUAGGAGGGUGAAGAUUAAUAGUGGACACACUGGACCUGAAAGAAAGGUUCUUCCUUGAGCACCAGCCUAGGAUGGCAUCUUUGUUUUAGGAGCCAAGAGACCAGUAAUAGUAGCUCAAGGUGAUUUCAGCCUCCAUUGUGAUCAAGGCUUUCCUUUUCGGGUUGCUAUGGGACAGAGACCCAGGUGAGUAAUGGCCAGUGUUCCUCUCUUGGUUUGGGGAAUUGGUUUAAGUGUUUUCAUUGUAUUUUCAAACAUAAUCGAUAUAUAUCAAAGGGUUGAUGAUGGCCUGUUGGUAAAUAACCAUGAGAGCUUAUGCUGAUGAAGUGAUAAUCUAGAACCUGGAAAUUCAUUAACCAAGGAGAUCUCAUGUAUGGUGAUAAUGUUUGGAGAGAAGUUAGGGAUAUUCGCUGGUCUGGUUCUUGGGUUUUGGGUAUUCAUGUUUUUCUUUCAUUAGUAUUAAUAAUGUGAUGAUUUAAUUGAUAGAGGUGUACCAAUGAAUGAACUAAAAUUGGACCCAAGGGGACCAACGAUGAAGUUGGGUAGAGGAUGAGGCAUUAAUGGGCAAGGAACCAUAAGUAUCUGGAAGCCUGAGGGCCAAGAAGUGUACACAUUCUAUUUUCUACAUUGAUUUCGUCCUAUGGACACAUGUUUGAAAUAUAUAAAGUCAUGCUCUUAGUUUGGGUUAAUAGAUUUUGAUUUAGUAUUAUUAAUGGAUAAAUAA
This is a non-coding RNA of Delphinapterus leucas (beluga whale), 6396 nucleotides long. Lineage: Eukaryota; Metazoa; Chordata; Mammalia; Artiodactyla; Monodontidae. The record is from RefSeq and is a predicted model, not a curated record.